GACGAACGCUGGCGGCGUGCCUAAUACAUGCAAGUAGAACGCUGAAGAGAGGAGCUUGCUCUUCUUGGAUGAGUUGCGAACGGGUGAGUAACGCGUAGGUAACCUGCCUUGUAGCGGGGGAUAACUAUUGGAAACGAUAGCUAAUACCGCAUAACAAUGGAUGACACAUGUCAUUUAUUUGAAAGGGGCAAUUGCUCCACUACAAGAUGGACCUGCGUUGUAUUAGCUAGUAGGUGAGGUAAUGGCUCACCUAGGCGACGAUACAGAGCCGACCUGAGAGGGUGAGCGGCCACACUGGGACUGAGACACGGCCCAGAGUCCCACGGGAGGCAGCAGUAGGGAAUCUUCGGCAAUGGGGGCAACCCUGACCGAGCAACGCCGCGUGAGUGAAGAAGGUUUUCGGGUCGUAGAGCACUGUUGUAAGUCAAGAACGGGUGUGAGAGUGGAAAGUUCACACUGUGACGGUAGCUGACCAGAAAGGGACGGCUAACUACGUG
This 497-nucleotide ribosomal RNA is filed under the name uncultured bacterium. Its description in RNAcentral is "partial 16S ribosomal RNA". It matches the Rfam family "Bacterial small subunit ribosomal RNA", at positions 28 to 507 of the family's 1533-position model. The record is from RNAcentral.